AAUUAUAUAUUCUAUGUAGAGGAUAUUGAAUUGCAAAUUCAAAGGAAAAAUUUUUUUAUUUUUAUAAUUU
This 70-nucleotide transfer RNA is filed under the name Pityogenes trepanatus. RNAcentral describes it as "tRNA-Cys". Lineage: Eukaryota; Metazoa; Arthropoda; Insecta; Coleoptera; Curculionidae. The record is from RNAcentral.